GUCCACGCCCUAAACGAUGGGCACUAGGUGUGGGAGGUAUCGACCCCUCCCGUGCCGCAGCUAACGCAUUAAGUGCCCCGCCUGGGGAGUACGGUCGCAAGAUUAAAACUCAAAGGAAUUGACGGGGGCCCGCACAAGCGGUGGAGCAUGUGGUUUAAUUCGACGCAACGCUAAGAACCUUACCUGGGCUUGACAUCCCUGGAACCCCUGUGAAAACAGGGGGUGCCUAGAAAUAGGAGCCAGGAGACAGGUGCUGCAUGGCUGUCGU
Molecule: ribosomal RNA, 268 nt
Filed under: uncultured bacterium
Lineage: Bacteria
Description: partial 16S ribosomal RNA
Rfam family: Bacterial small subunit ribosomal RNA
Source: RNAcentral